Molecule: long non-coding RNA, 1040 nt
Organism: Ostrinia nubilalis (European corn borer)
Lineage: Eukaryota; Metazoa; Arthropoda; Insecta; Lepidoptera; Crambidae
Exons: 2
Source: RefSeq, a predicted model, not a curated record
GUUGACGCAGACUUGGAGAACCAUAUAGUUUUCACGCCACGUGAUAGCUAUGCGGAAAACAUAGGAGUGCUGCAAAAACUUUUCGAUAAAGUGCAGCUCUCACUAAUUAAGGCACAUUCUCGAAAUAGCACUACUUACGAUCUUCGCCGCAAAAAUGUAGAAUUUAAUGUUGGUGACAUUGUUUGGAAAAGAACGUUUUAUCAAAGCGAUAAAGACAAUAAAUUUUCAAAAAAACUAGCUCCUAAAUUUAUUAAAUGUCGUAUAAUAGCAAAGAAAUCGAAAUUAGUCUAUGAUCUUCAAGAUAUGACAGGUCACAAUAUAGGGACUUGGCACGUUAAAGAUUUUAAGCUAACCUAGUAGUUAGCUGGAUUUUCUAAGAAAAAUCCUAACCUAAAAAGGGGGGUAUGUAACGCUUCGUUACACUAUUCUUAAAAACUAAAAUCGAAAUUAUUAAAAACAAUAAAGAAAACAAUAAUAUACAAUUAAAUCAGAAAAAUACUAACAUUUAAUAAAUUAUAAUAUUUAUAGAAAGAACUGUUUUUGUAAGCAAACUGCGCGAUACCAUUGUUAUUAUAUCUUUGGAGCGAACGAACGAACGCCGAAUGAUUCAAGGCGCGGCGAAUGCUCGCAGCGAUCGCGAAUCCAUCACUGUGUCUCGCGAAACAUCCGUACGCAGACACGUACCACUUUAACUGCAGAUUUUUUAAAUAUAAGGUUUACGAACUCGUGAAGUUUUUACACCUCAGAAUCUAAUUAAGUCUGUGUACGUCACCCCGAUAACGGGGAUCCAGUACCGGAUUUCGAUUGCUGCUCCCGGCUCACUCUCCAUAAUCAGGCUUACGGCGGAGGUGAUUGCUGCAUUUUUGUCGUCGGACUACCCUACGAUAUCACAACUUCGUGACCCCAACUUCGUGUCAACGCUUCUCCACGGAUAAAAGGGCAGUGGUUUUGAUUGAGCUUAAGACUGGUGAUUCUUCGCGUUGCAAUUGUUUAUCCACUCCCUGAAGAGUCGUAAUUAAACCUUUUUGUUAAAUUUAAAA